RNAcentral lists this transfer RNA (76 nucleotides) under Fusobacterium hominis. Its description in RNAcentral is "Fusobacterium sp. NSJ-57 tRNA-Ala". It matches the Rfam family "tRNA". Rfam says of the family: Transfer RNA (tRNA) molecules are approximately 80 nucleotides in length. Their secondary structure includes four short double-helical elements and three loops (D, anti-codon, and T loops). The record is from RNAcentral. Lineage: Bacteria; Fusobacteriati; Fusobacteriota; Fusobacteriia; Fusobacteriales; Fusobacteriaceae.
GGGGAUAUGGCUCAGUUGGGAGAGCGUCGCACUUGCACUGCGAAGGUCAGCGGUUCGAACCCGCUUAUCUCCACCA